This is a long non-coding RNA of Vicia villosa (hairy vetch), 694 nucleotides long. RefSeq lists it as uncharacterized. The transcript has 4 exons. The record is from RefSeq and is a predicted model, not a curated record. NCBI's taxonomy places the organism in Eukaryota, Viridiplantae, Streptophyta, Magnoliopsida, Fabales, Fabaceae.
UCUGUUUUUUAUUCAAAUUUUUCUGAUUACUUUUAGGUGAUGGUUUCUACUUUCAGACGAAGCAGAUAACGAUGGUGACGAAAUCAUACAUCAAGUUUAACGAUUCUCAAUGAUGGGUCAACAUUCAGAUCUAUUUAUAUGUAUUCAGGUUAAAGCGUUAUAGAGGUUUCAAGGAGGGGCAUGCAAGGAUUCUUGUUGCUACAAAUUUGGUUGGUAGAGGAAUUGACAUUGAACGUGUCAAUAUUGUUAUAAACUAUGACAUGCCUGAUUUUGCAGACACUUACUUGCACAGGUUAAUAAUGAACUUGACACGAUGUGGCGCUGGCUUAACGUAUUAAAGUUGUUUGGUGCAAAAUGAUGAGGGUGUCGUAGGGAUGUAUUGGCGGCGGCGUCAAGUUCUGCUUGAAGUUGUAGGGCUUUUAGACUUUGGUGCAAGGAUCGAUUUGUUAUAGCAGCGGAUUUCUUGGAUAUUUUCCAAACUGAGUCCGAUGCAAGCUUCUAAAUUCAUUUUGAAUUUCUGUUUGGAUUUAAUUUGUGCAGGGAGUUUCCUCUUGGAGCCGCGGAUUCAUUGUUUAGGUCCGUGCGUUUUGAUGUGAGUUUCCGAACUGGUUCGAUUCAGUUGGGAUGAUGUGCAACUGUGUUUUUUUGGCACAUGGUCUGAUUAUGCUUAAAUUAUGAAGGCUUGGUUUUGAUA